RNAcentral lists this small RNA (47 nucleotides) under Acidobacteriia bacterium SbA2. Its description in RNAcentral is "Solibacteres bacterium SbA2 Acido-Lenti-1". It matches the Rfam family "Acido-Lenti-1 RNA". The record is from RNAcentral. Lineage: Bacteria; Pseudomonadati; Acidobacteriota; Terriglobia.
CCCAGGGCUCACGCCCUGGGCUACUCUAUUUCGCCCCUGGCGGGGCU